UUAUAACAGUAUCUCUCACUCAAAGAAGUUAUUUUUUAAGCUUCCGUUCAUCAUGACAGCAAAAUCUCUGCUUGUUGGUCCGCCGGCGCUCCGCCGUGAACCACCGUUAUCCGCCCUUACACUUAACGAUCCCGACACAGUCGAUAUCCCCAUCACCGGUCCAUCUGAUGAAAUAAAAAAUCUCGAUCUUUCAAAGCUUCCGUUAAGGGGUUUGACGGAGAACAAUUCGGCUACAUUCAUAUCAUCUGGUAAUCCUUGUUUGGAUUUCUUCUUUCAUGUUGUACCGGAUACAUCGCCGGAUGAUUUGAUCGGACGGCUGGAAUUAGCUUGGGCUCACAACCCGUUGACGGCUCUUAAACUGAUUUGCAAUCUCAGAGGUGUUAGAGGUACAGGUAAGUCUGAUAAAGAAGGGUUUUAUGCUGCUGCGUUUUGGUUACAUUAUAUGCAUCCUAAAACCCUUGCUUGUAAUGUUCAUGCUUUUGCUGAUUUUGGGUAUUUUAAGGAUCUGUUAGAAAUUUUGUAUAGAAUUCUUGAAGGGCCGUUUGUUAGGAAAAUGGAGAAAGAGGAGAGGGAGAAAGCGAGGGGUAGAGGAGGUGGUGGUCGUGGUAGGUUUAAGAGGGUGAGUAGGCCUAGUGAGGAUGGUAAGGAGAAGAAGAUGAAAGUUAAGAAAAAUUUAGAGGAAUUGAAGGAAGAAAUUAAGGCAGAGCAAGUGAAAGCAAGAGUUUUGAGGAAGGAGAAAGAGGUAGCUAAGGCGGAGAAGGCGUUUGAGAAGUACUAUUCCGAUGAGAAUUAUAGGCGUUUACAUGAUAAGAUAUCGGAUUUCUUUGCUGAGCAUUUGAGGGAGGAUCUAGAGAAGUUGAAUUCAGGGAAGAGUAAUGAGAUCAGUUUAGCUGCAAAAUGGUGUCCGACUGUUGAUUCUUCGUAUGAUAAGGCUACUUUGAUGUGUGAGAGCAUUGCGAAAAAGGUGUUUCCGAGAGAAAGUUAUAGUGAAUACGAUGGGGUUGAAGAGGGUCAUUAUGCUUAUAGGGUGAGAAAUAGAUUGAGAAAAGAUGUGCUUGUGCCUUUACACAAGGCAUUGGAAUUGCCCGAGGUGUAUAUGAGUGCUAAUAAAUGGAGUUCGUUGCCGUACAAUAGGGUGGCGUCAGUAGCUAUGAAGAACUAUAAAGGACACUUCUUUAAGCAUGACCAAGAAAGGUUUAAGGCAUAUCUUGAGGAUGUGAAGUCGGGGAAGGCAAAAAUUGCAGCUGGAGCUUUGCUGCCUCAUGAGAUUAUUGGGGCAUUGGAAGACGAAGAUGAUGGAGAAGUAGCUGAACUUCAGUGGAAAAGAAUGGUCGGUGAUCUUUGUAAGAAAGGAAAAUUAAGUGAUUGUAUUGCGGUAUGUGAUGUUUCUGGGAGUAUGAGUGGGAUACCGAUGGAGGUCUGUGUGGCACUUGGUGUCUUGGUUUCAGAAUUGAGUGAGGAACCAUGGAAGGGAAAAUUGAUCACAUUCAGUGAGUCACCUGAAAUGCAGAAAGUUGAAGGUGAUACUCUAAAAGAGAAGACCGAGUUUGUCAGAAAUAUGAACUGGGGUAUGAACACAAAUUUCCAGAAAGUGUUUGAUACUAUCUUGGAAGUGGCGGUACAAGGAAAUCUAAGUGAGAAUCAAAUGCUAAAGAGGGUGUUUGUGUUCAGUGAUAUGGAAUUCGAUCAGGCAUCAGAAAAUGCAUGGGAGACCGACUAUCAGGCAAUUCAACGAAAAUUUUCAGAGAAGGGAUACAACAAUGUGCCCGAGAUCGUGUUCUGGAACCUUCGAGACUCAAGGUCCACUCCAGUUUUGGAAAAUCAGAAUGGUGUAGCACUUGUGAGUGGGUUUUCUAAGAAUCUGUUGACCAUGUUCUUAGAGGGUGGUGGAGUUGUUAAUCCUGUGGAUGUUAUGGAGCUUGCUAUUUCCGGUGAAGAGUACCAGAAGCUAGUUGUUUUAGACUAAUGUAUGAGUCUCGGCACAUUAUUAUCCAACUCUGUUACAGUUUCUUAGAUGAAAGAAUUGUGUGUUUACUUACCGUCAACUGCUGACAUUAAGCUUUGUGUUAUGGUGAUCAUGUGUUUCGUGCUUCUUAUAACUGUUACAUCUUCUGGUUGAACAUGACUUCUUUACCUAGUUUUGUUCUCGGUUGAGUGUCGUUGAAGUAGUCAUCUGAUAUUUUGAAUAUCCCCUUCAAUGAGGAUGAACUUUCAGGCUCUUAAUCUGUUGAAUCUUCACUGAUCCAAGUUUUAUACAGUUCUGUAUUUUGGAGAUGUAUUGGACCAUUUUGCAACUUGUUAGCAUGUCAUAAGUUUGAUUAGCGAGCUGUUAUCAGAAUUAGAAAUAUAUGUGACAAGAAUCUCAAAUGUAUUUAGCAUUUGUUCAUAUCAUAUUGCUG
This 2399-nucleotide unclassified non-coding RNA is filed under the name Hevea brasiliensis (rubber tree). Lineage: Eukaryota; Viridiplantae; Streptophyta; Magnoliopsida; Malpighiales; Euphorbiaceae. The record is from RNAcentral.